UAGGGAAUCUUCCGCAAUGGACGCAAGUCUGACGGAGCAACGCCGCGUGAGUGAAGAAGGUCUUCGGAUCGUAAAGCUCUGUUGUUAGAGAAGAACAGCGCAUAGAGUAACUGAUAUGCGUGUGACGGUAUCUAACCAGAAAGCCACGGCUAACUACGUGCCAGCAGCCGCGGUAAUACGUAGGUGGCGAGCGUUGUCCGGAUUUAUUGGGCGUAAAGGGAGUGUAGGCGGUCUUUUAAGUCUGAUGUGAAAGCCCACGGCUCAACCGUGGAGGGUCAUUGGAAACUGGGAGACUUGAGUGCAGAAGAGGAGAGCGGAAUUCCAUGUGUAGCGGUGAAAUGCGUAGAUAUAUGGAGGAACACCAGUGGCGAAGGCGGCUCUCUGGUCUGUAACUGACGCUGAGGCUCGAAAGCGUGGGGAGCAAACA
This 427-nucleotide ribosomal RNA is filed under the name uncultured Aerococcaceae bacterium. RNAcentral's name for it is "bacterial SSU rRNA". It matches the Rfam family "Bacterial small subunit ribosomal RNA", at positions 355 to 774 of the family's 1533-position model. Lineage: Bacteria; Bacillati; Bacillota; Bacilli; Lactobacillales; Aerococcaceae. The record is from RNAcentral.